Molecule: ribosomal RNA, 505 nt
Filed under: uncultured bacterium
Lineage: Bacteria
Description: partial 16S ribosomal RNA
Rfam family: Bacterial small subunit ribosomal RNA
Source: RNAcentral
GACGAACGCUGGCGGCGUGCCUAAUACAUGCAAGUAGAACGCACAGUUUAUACCGUAGCUUGCUACACCAUAGACUGUGAGUUGCGAACGGGUGAGUAACGCGUAGGUAACCUGCCUGGUAGCGGGGGAUAACUAUUGGAAACGAUAGCUAAUACCGCAUAAUAUUAAUUAUUGCAUGAUAAUUAAUUGAAAGGUGCAAUUGCACCACUACCAGAUGGACCUGCGUUGUAUUAGCUAGUAGGUGAGGUAACGGCUCACCUAGGCGACGAUACAUAGCCGACCUGAGAGGGUGGUCGGCCACACUGGGACUGUGACACGGCCCAGACUCCUACGGGAGGCAGCAGUAGUGCAUCUUCGGCAAUGGACGAAAGUCUGACCGAGCAACGCCGCGUGAGUGAAGAAGGUUUUCGGAUCGUAAAGCUCUGUUGUAAGAGAAGAACGGGUGUGAGAGUGGAAAGUUCACACUGUGACGGUAUCUUACCAGAAAGGGACGGCUAACUACGUG